RNAcentral lists this transfer RNA (61 nucleotides) under Fukomys damarensis (Damara mole-rat). It matches the Rfam family "tRNA", at positions 6 to 65 of the family's 71-position model. Rfam says of the family: Transfer RNA (tRNA) molecules are approximately 80 nucleotides in length. Their secondary structure includes four short double-helical elements and three loops (D, anti-codon, and T loops). Further hydrogen bonds mediate the characteristic L-shaped molecular structure. tRNAs have two regions of fundamental functional importance: the anti-codon, which is responsible for specific mRNA codon recognition, and the 3' end, to which the tRNAs corresponding amino acid is attached (by aminoacyl-tRNA synthetases). tRNAs cope with the degeneracy of the genetic code in two manners: having more than one tRNA (with a specific anti-codon) for a particular amino acid; and 'wobble' base-pairing, i.e. permitting non-standard base-pairing at the 3rd anti-codon position. The record is from Rfam by way of RNAcentral. Lineage: Eukaryota; Metazoa; Chordata; Mammalia; Rodentia; Bathyergidae.
UGUAGCUCAGUGGUAGAGCACUUGCCUAGCAUGCACAAGAACCUGGGUUCAAUCCCUAGUA